RNAcentral lists this ribosomal RNA (301 nucleotides) under uncultured bacterium. RNAcentral describes it as "partial 16S ribosomal RNA". It matches the Rfam family "Bacterial small subunit ribosomal RNA", at positions 509 to 809 of the family's 1533-position model. The record is from RNAcentral.
CAGUAGCCGCGGUAAUACGGAGGGUGCAAGCGUUAAUCGGAAUUACUGGGCGUAAAGCGCACGCAGGCGGUCUGACAAGUCAGAUGUGAAAUCCCCGGGCUUAACCUGGGAACUGCAUUUGAAACUGUCAGGCUGGAGUCUUGUAGAGGGGGGUGGAAUUCCAGGUGUAGCGGUGAAAUGCGUAGAGAUCUGGAGGAAUACCGGUGGCGAAGGCGGCCCCCUGGACAAAGACUGACGCUCAGGUGCGAAAGCGUGGGGAGCAAACAGGAUUAGAUACCCGAGUAGUCCCUGUCUCUUAUAA